GCCCAGCAUUGUGGCGGGUGCCUGUAGUCCCAGCUACUCUGGAGGCUGAGGGAAGAGAAUAGCUUGAGCCCAGGAGUCUGAGUUUGAGGUUGCUGUGAACUAUGAUGCCACAGCACACUACCAAGGAUGACAAAAUGAGACUGUGUCAAAAAAAAAUUCCUUUCAGUUUUUUUUUGUUUUUAAGAUGGAGUCUCAUUUUGUCACCUUUGGUAGAGUGAUAUGGCAUCAUAGCUCACAGCAACCUCAAACUCAGACUCUUGGGCUUAAGUGAUUUUCUUGCCUCAG
RNAcentral lists this signal recognition particle RNA (285 nucleotides) under Otolemur garnettii (small-eared galago). Its description in RNAcentral is "Metazoan signal recognition particle RNA". It matches the Rfam family "Metazoan signal recognition particle RNA". From Rfam's summary of the family: The signal recognition particle (SRP) is a universally conserved ribonucleoprotein. It is involved in the co-translational targeting of proteins to membranes. The eukaryotic SRP consists of a 300-nucleotide 7S RNA and six proteins: SRPs 72, 68, 54, 19, 14, and 9. Lineage: Eukaryota; Metazoa; Chordata; Mammalia; Primates; Galagidae. The record is from Rfam by way of RNAcentral.